This 253-nucleotide ribosomal RNA is filed under the name uncultured bacterium. RNAcentral describes it as "partial 16S ribosomal RNA". It matches the Rfam family "Bacterial small subunit ribosomal RNA", at positions 524 to 776 of the family's 1533-position model. The record is from RNAcentral.
UACGGAGGGGGCUAGCGUUGUUCGGAAUCACUGGGCUUAAAGGGCGCGUAGGCGGCCGGGUUGGUCGUGGGUGAAAUCCCCCAGCUUAACUGGGGAAGGGCCUACGAUACUGCCUGGCUCGAGGGAGGAAGGGGCGGUCGGAACUGUCGGUGGAGCGGUGAAAUGCGUUGAUAUCGACAGGAACGCCGGUGGCGAAAGCGGACCGCUGGCCCUCUUCUGACGCUGAGGCGCGAAAGCCAGGGGAGCGAACGGG